This 438-nucleotide long non-coding RNA is filed under the name Homo sapiens (human). Its description in RNAcentral is "HSALNT0407789". Lineage: Eukaryota; Metazoa; Chordata; Mammalia; Primates; Hominidae. The record is from RNAcentral.
ACUUGCACAGGGGCUCUCAAGGUGUUCUCCGCACAGCGGAAGAUGGCGACAGACUGAGGGUGCAUGGCCAGCGGGAGCCACGGGGCCGUGCCGCUGGGCUGCAGCCACAGCGGUGCGAACGAGAGGCGGAAGCGAGAGGCGCACUAAGUAAAGCCCGGUGUCUGCGUCCGGCGCCUGUGGCGCUGCCGGGAGCCAGGUGGCCCGCCCGAGCCGGAACUCCAGGAGCAGCGGGUGCGGAGCCAGAGCGGAGCCCGCCAGGGACUGGCCCCGGCGAACACCCGGAGCGCGAACGAAGCCCGAAGGGCCCGGCAACGGACCGGCCGGCCGGCCUAGGAGGGCGCGAGCGAGGCAGGGAGCGGCGUGGAGCGGGCAGCGGGCGGACGGGCGGGAGCGGAGCGGCGCGGGGCGAGGGGAGCGGAGCGGAGCGCGGCGGCGGGG